This 496-nucleotide ribosomal RNA is filed under the name uncultured bacterium. Its description in RNAcentral is "partial 16S ribosomal RNA". It matches the Rfam family "Bacterial small subunit ribosomal RNA", at positions 29 to 507 of the family's 1533-position model. The record is from RNAcentral.
ACGAACGCUGGCGGCGUGCCUCAUACAUGCAAGUUGAGCGAUGAAGAUUGGUGCUUGCACCAAUUUGAAGAGCAGCGAACGGGUGAGUAACGCGUGGGGAAUCUGCCUUUGAGCGGGGGACAACAUUUGGAAACGAAUGCUAAUACCGCAUAAUAACUUUAAACAUAAGUUUUAAGUUUGAAAGAUGCAAUUGCAUCACUCAAAGAUGAUCCCGCGUUGUAUUAGCUAGUUGGUGAGGUAAAGGCUCACCAAGGCGAUGAUACAUAGCCGACCUGAGAGGGUGAUCGGCCACAUUGGGACUGAGACACGGCCCAAACUCCUACGGGAGGCAGCAGUAGGGAAUCUUCGGCAAUGGACGAAAGUCUGACCGAGCAACGCCGCGUGAGUGAAGAAGGUUUUCGGAUCGUAAAACUCUGUUGGUAGAGAAGAACGUUGGUGAGAGUGGAAAGCUCAUCAAGUGACGGUAACUACCCAGAAAGGGACGGCUAACUACGUG